CCACCUCAAAAAAAAAAACAAAAAACCAUAGAUUUUUAAGGCCUCGGCACUGCCAUACUAUGACAUGGGCCUACCCUGGGUGGUCAUUGUCCCAUCUUGCACAGCCCCCAACCUCUUCUCUGGAGGACAACGACAGCACAAGAAAGCGCUCUGAAGAUGAGCCGCAUCACCACUCUUCCAGCUCACCAUCGAUUUGGAAGCCUAGAGAGGAUCGGCCUUUCUAGGACAAUAGACGGUUCCUUCUCCUCACCUAGAGUGGCCCUAAGAGGACGAGGGCGCCUCCCUGGUCCUCCAGGGGAGUGUGCAUCCCCAGGUGCACAGGGAAACGAGCUCUCAUCCUACCACCCUUGGGCUUUUACAGAUGCUUUUCUCCCCUUCACUUUCUUUUUCAUUUCUUUUCUUUUCCUUUUUUUUUUUUUUUUUUUUUUUUUAAUUUUUGAGACAGAGUUUCGCUUUUGUCACCCAGGCUGGAAUGCAA
RNAcentral lists this long non-coding RNA (478 nucleotides) under Homo sapiens (human). RNAcentral's name for it is "HSALNT0236345". The record is from RNAcentral. Lineage: Eukaryota; Metazoa; Chordata; Mammalia; Primates; Hominidae.